RNAcentral lists this ribosomal RNA (439 nucleotides) under uncultured bacterium. RNAcentral describes it as "partial 16S ribosomal RNA". It matches the Rfam family "Bacterial small subunit ribosomal RNA", at positions 338 to 794 of the family's 1533-position model. The record is from RNAcentral.
CCUACGGGAGGCAGCAGUAGGGAAUAUUGCUCAAUGGGGGAAACCCUGAAGCAGCAACGCCGCGUGGAGGAUGAAGGUUUUCGGAUUGUAAACUCCUUUUGUUAGAGAAGAUAAUGACGGUAUCUAACGAAUAAGCACCGGCUAACUCCGUGCCAGCAGCCGCGGUAAUACGGAGGGUGCAAGCGUUACUCGGAAUCACUGGGCGUAAAGCGCGCGUAGGCGGGAUAGCAAGUCAGAUGUGAAAUCCUAUGGCUUAACCAUAGAACUGCAUUUGAAACUGUUAUUCUAGAGUAUGGGAGAGGUAGGGGGAAGUCGUGGGGUAGGGGUAAAAUCCGUAGAGAUCAAGAGGAAUACUCAUUGCGAAGGCGACCUGCUAGAACAUAACUGACGCUGUUGCGCGAAAGCGUGGGGAGCAAACAGGAUUAGAUACCCCUGUAGU